RNAcentral lists this unclassified non-coding RNA (167 nucleotides) under uncultured Helotiales. Its description in RNAcentral is "sequence contains ITS1". The record is from RNAcentral. Lineage: Eukaryota; Fungi; Ascomycota; Leotiomycetes; Helotiales.
CAGAGUUCAUGCCCGUCCGGGUAGAUCUCCCACCCUGUGUUAUUAUUACCUUGUUGCUUUGGCGGGCCGUUAGGCUCUAGCUCGACUACCGGCUUCGGUUGGUAAGCGCCCGCCAGAGGAAUCUAAACUCUGAAUAUUAGUGUUGUCUGAGUACUAUAUAAUAGUUA